RNAcentral lists this ribosomal RNA (255 nucleotides) under uncultured bacterium. RNAcentral's name for it is "partial 16S ribosomal RNA". It matches the Rfam family "Bacterial small subunit ribosomal RNA", at positions 524 to 776 of the family's 1533-position model. The record is from RNAcentral.
UACGUAGGGAGCAAGCGUUGUCCGGAAUCAUUGGGCGUAAAGCGCGCGUAGGUGGCUUCGUAAGUCCGUUGUGAAAGUCAAAGGCUCAACCUUUGAAAGCCGAUGGAUACUGCGGAGCUAGAGUACGGAAGAGGCGAGUGGAAUUCCUGGUGUAGCGGUGGAAUGCGCAGAUAUCAAGGAGGAACACCAAUAGCGAAGGCAGCUCGCUGGGACGUUACUGACACUGAGGCGCGAAAGCGUGGGGAGCGAAACAGG